GUGACUAUAGCUCAGCUGGCAGAGCGUCUGGUUGUGGCCCAGAAGGUCAUGGGUUCAAGCCCCAUUAGUCACC
This 73-nucleotide transfer RNA is filed under the name Anaerolineae bacterium. RNAcentral describes it as "tRNA-His". It matches the Rfam family "tRNA". Rfam says of the family: Transfer RNA (tRNA) molecules are approximately 80 nucleotides in length. The record is from RNAcentral. Lineage: Bacteria; Bacillati; Chloroflexota; Anaerolineae. RNAcentral also lists the same sequence under 1 other name.